CCAAAUAACUAAAUAAAUUAAUAUUAAUUUAAAAAUAUAUAUCUCAUUAAAUCUUAACAAAUUAAAGGAAGCACCAAUAAAAAAUAUUGAUGUCACAAUAACUAAACUAAUAUUGUUUUAACUAAAUAGCUAAUAUCAUUAUAUAAUUAAUCUAAACGAAUGAUAGUUUUCAAACGAUUUUUGCAACUUUUCAUCAUUAUGAAAUCUUCCACCAGCUGAAUUAUCGAACAUCAAACUAUAUGACCUGAAAUAAUAAAAUAAUUAUAUCAGAAGAUAAAAUACAAUGUGGAAAAACAUCUUCAAAAUUCCAUCACUGUCACGAUUCAUAAACAGAAAGAACAUUGCAAUUAAUAGAACAACCAUUAAGCAGAAUAACCAUAAACUGCAAAAAAUUUCAGCUAAAAACAAUCAACAAAAACUGCAGAAACAUACAAAGUUUACUUGCUCUAAUGCUAGCUGCUGUCAAUAAAUUUGAAACAGUCAACAAAAACAACAGCUAGGAAAUCACACGCACACAUCACCAUAAUGUACUAAUAGAACACAAUAAGCUAUUGUAAUGUCAAAGUCGGAAGCUACUGUUCCAUUGAAUGUUACAAUUGAUCGAGCUGUUGGUGGGGGUUCAACUUAUGCCAAUGGGAUUGUUGAUGUGCAGAAUGGUGAGGAGGUUGUUCGAGUUACAUCAGUGGUUGAUGGAAAAGGGGAAAACAUACAAAUGCAGAAAUUUGCCCAGAUGAUGUUAAGCAGUAUGACUAUUUAAUGAGGCAGCAACAGGAUGGAUCAGGAAGGAGGAGGAACACGAGUUUCAUCAAGCUGUUCUAUUUGGGAGGGGAAUUUGAUGCAUAUCACUUUGGAGUAUAGAGAAAAUAAAGAGAAGAUGGGAAGACUGGGAUGUCAGGUGCAAGCAUAGGGAAAAACCAGCAGGUUUGUCACUUCAAUUCUUUGGAAUACAGUUAAGUGAAGCAAUGGAUUAUGGUGAGCAAAAUACUGUUGAGUAGUUUCAAGGUGACUUAAGACAGAUUUUGAAUGAAAAAAAAGAGGUUUGGCUAAUGCUGAUAGAAGAGCUGAUCAAGAUCAACAAAGUAACACCAGCAGGUGAACUGGGGUACUUGGUCGACCUACUGCUGCUGCUGCUGAACUGUUGGAAAAACCAGCAGGUUUUUGUGUCUCAGCUGGGAAUGCUGAGGGUCAAGAACUCGAAGGUAGUGAUGCUAUGGAUGAUGCAGCUGCUACAGGGGUUAGGACAGUGCAUGAACAAGAUAAGCACUGUCAAAAUAGUGCAAUGGUUCAGCCUAAUGCUGGAUUUAAUAUAGGACACAAUCAGGUAACUGAUUCUGCCUUUCUUUCUUACAGAUCAGGAAUGGAGUAUGAUUCUAGAAAGCAAUUCCUUCUCCAAAAAAAAAAGGGAAAAGAAAAACAAUUGAUUUGAUGCAGUUAUGUAUAGUUUUCUUAGAUCUUCAAUUACUAUCUCUACUUGAAAUCUUUCAGUUCUGGCCUUCAAAUAGCAUUAAGGAAAGGUAGUACUUGUAUAUAUGUAUCACAAAGAUCUGCAAGACAAUUUCAGAAAACCCUUUCAAAACUGCAUAAAACCUAUACAUUUCCUUCUGUUCACAAAUGUUUUUGUUCAUCUUUCCUCUCAAGUAUGGCUUCUUUUUUUUUCAUAAAAUAAUGUUGACCAAUAAAAAUUGUGUCAAACAAUUUUUUGAUAAGGAAAAAAAAAAUUUAUGUCAAACAUCCAUAACACUAGUAAUGUCAUGGGAUAUCUCCAUUUUUAUUAGCAGAAGCUUAAGAUAUCCACACUAAUAACCACAAAAAACUUGUCUACCCCCCCAGAAAAGGAUAUGUCCAUUAACAGAGACAUUUUUAUAUCAAACUCAUUUGCAUAUACAAAUUUAGUAAUGCGCAUUAAUAAUAAUAGGUUCAAAAUGAAGAUAAAUUAUUCAUAACCUUAGGAUUUUCUACGAGUCAGAUGAGUUAUCUCACUAUGAAGGGAAAGAGCACAAAGAGCAAUUUUCUUUCUUUCCUGGGAUCCUAUGUCUCCAGCUGACUGAUGCAUCACAGCUUUUUCCUUUUGAUUAAUGGUUAAUACUAAUCUUUGCUUCAUGCUAAGUGACUGAUGAGUUAUAUAACUAUGUAACUGACUGUUGCACCGCAAGGUGUAUUUAUUAGUUGAUGCUAACUUUUAGCUUCAAAGUUAAAAUUAUUUUAUAGUUACUUCAGGAUGUUGGGAAUAUCAGAAGAACCAAAAGACCGCAAAAAGAAAAAAAAAUGAGGGGUCUUUAUCAUUUGAUUGCAUUUGACAACUGCUAUGGUAGAGUAUUAUCUGCAUGUGGGCAUGUUGACUUUUAGAUGAUGGACUUCACCACUUCAGUAGCAUGACCAAGGUGUAUGGAAUUAUUCCAAUGACAGAUCAUUUGGCUUGUAUAGUGACAAAGAAAGAAGCUUAUGAUUUGAUUUGUCCAGCUGCAAAGCUAACAGAGACUCUGUCUUAAGGACAGACUUCAGUGCCAAUAUGGAGCCCCGCUGUGUGGCAGACUUCUGUGAACUGACAGGGUACCAAAAAGUAUCACUACCUUUUAGGAUCUUGGUAUACAAAUAUCAUCAACGAAGAUCUUUAUAGUUGAUUGUGAGAUGCUAAUUGAUAAGCUUACAACAAGAGUGCAAGACUGGGGAUCCAGACACCUAUUCUACACAGGAAGAGUGCAGCUGGUCAAUUCAGUGCUACUGAUCUUCCGUUUUCAUACUUCCUGGGAGUGUUUUGAAAGGUAUCACUGCAAUAUGUCGAAAUUUCUUAUGGGAUGGUAAGACAGUUACUAACAGAGCCCCCUAUUGGCGUGGGACUUGGUUUAUAGACUUACGAGGGAGGGUGGAGUGGGAAUCAUUGACUGCGUAAUCUGGAAUGAGGCUGUUGUGGCUAAAUAUGUUUGAAUAUAGCACUAUAGACAAACAAUCUAUUAGUCAAAUAGGUUAGUCAUAUCUGCAUAACAGGGAGAGCUUGGUGACAAUACUCUCAUCCAUGGGACUUUUGUUGGUAUUGGAAGAUACCCUGCUCCAUCAAAGACAAGUUUGCUGCAUAUAUGUGAACAAUGGGUGGCUUAUAUAGAAUAAGAGGUACUCAAUCAGUAGUGAGUACAAGUGGAGGAAUGGAUGUCUGGAGGACUGGCUUUCGAGAAGAUGGAUAUUGAGACAAGGUAAAUAUCCCAAAUCAUAGUCUAGUCUCUUGGUUAACAAUGCACAAAAGAAUUCUUACCAAAGAAAUAUUGAUUCGACUAGAGAUCAGUGAAGACAGUAAUUGCCUGAUAUGUGGUGGAAACACAGAAUCUGUAGAACACUUGUUCUUUCAAUAUCAGUUCUCGAGAGCUCGUCUGCAGGAUAGGUAUACAACAAACACAUCUACAAGGGAUAUUGCGCAUGGUGGCAAGAUUGGUAAAAGGAAAAUGGUGCAGCGCUUUUGCUAUGGCUAUCUUGGCUGCACUGAUCUAUAAUAUAAUACAUGGAAGGCUAGGAAUGGUGCCUUAUGGCAUCACGAUGUCCCUCUACCUAAGAAAGUCUAUGAACAGAUCAAAUAGGAGGGCAAGGUGCGAACGUAUACGGUUUUGGACAGAAGGCAGAGUAAUAAAGCGAAUGGAUAGAAAAUUUAUACAUAUAGGAUACUUUAAUGUACAGAUAUAGUAAUUUUGCAACUUCCGAAGUCUUUUUUGUAGCCCUACCUGGUAGGUAUACCUAGAUUUGCAAUUCAUGAGGAGUUUCAAAUUGUAUUAUGUUUGGUGGGUAAUAAUAUUUUUUCUUCACCACAAAAAAAGAAGUUAGCCACAGAAUAACUGUUUACCUAAUCACAUAACAUUCAAGACCAGAACUGUAAAUUUUUCCCUUCACUCAAUUGGGCAGAAUUACUACUGCGUUCAACCUGCUUAUGCCUAGAAGACAAGUUAUAUGCAACUGCUACUUCCUUAGGCAAGCUAACACAUGUAGCAUGAAGAAUGUCCAUUUUUCACAACAAGAAGGUAGAAUGCCUAGAUCUUGUCAACUGCAAAGAUUUCACCCUUGUGUCGUCAAGUAGGGGAUUAACCAAACCAUGCAAAAAGUGUGAUUGUAGUUCCAGGCAAUAGGUCCACCAUUCAUAAUACCAACUACUAUCUUACAGGACUUGGCGGAGAGAGUUACCCGAUUAUGUGUUAGUAGGAGAUAGAAGGUAACCCGUAGUACUAGUCGAGGUGCGAGCAAGCUAGGCCAGACACUAGGUAAUCCCAAAAAAAAAAAAGGAAACUAGGAAGCCACUUAUAACAAUUUUAGCUCAAGGGAGAAUGUGCUUCUAAGUAUCCCGCUAAUGUGGAGGAACAUGAGCAGCCAAAGAUCAACCCUUACUAUUUCUUUGGAACAGACACAAAGAUUGUCAAAUAAAGAAAAUAUGGCGAAGGUUGAACUCGAAAAUAUAUUUCAAGAGACUGUAAUAGAUUGUUGUGUUGAAAGAAUCCCCUAGUAAAAAUCUAUAUGCCUGCUAUAGCAAUAUGGGAUUUCAAUUAACUGCUAUGUAAUACAUCAGCCAGGAGAUGAGGGCUUUACAAAGUCACAUGAUUCAUUAAGAUACUGACAAGUUUGACCUGAGGGGUCAAUUUACUAGAGUGGUUCAGAUUGAUUACUAUGGCAGCAACGGAAAUUAACAGGGUUAUCUACGGUAUAUAGGAAGUACAACACAUUUGAAUUUGGUUAAGCAACAAAAUAUGAACUGUGGUCCAACUCAUUCCUUCCUUUAUGAACCCCAGAAACGCUGCAUGUAUAUGUGAUUCGUGACGCAGCCAAAGAUAACCGUAGAUAUGCAUUGAAGCCAAACCGUAGGCUACUUGUACAGGCUAUCCCUGCCUCUCCACGGACACAACAGUUUUCUUUCCCCUCCCAAAUACACAAAACAAAGUAGAUAUGCAUUGAAGACAUAAUAAAUACAAGCAAGCAACAAUUUAGUUUUCGUUGCUAGUUACACUAUAUAACCAAUUCAAUAUCGCAGUAGAAAUUACAGAAAAUCACGGUUACUAACCAUUCGCAAAAUAGUUUUCGGAACCUUUUAGCAACAAAAACUCACUUUGUAAUAAGUAAAAAACCAGCAAUAAGCCUAACAACACACUAAACGAUCAACUAACAAAACAAUAAGCGACAGUAUAUAUGUCAUAUUCAGGCAAAUAUUUUGAACAUAGUGGAAUUCAUAUCUCGACUAGUGGUAGAUUCAAUGAAAACAUCAAUAUACAUCGACGACACUUAGAAAAUUUCUGAACAAUCAUAGCUAUAACAAGAAAUAAACAGAGGAAUUCAUAUCGACUUGUGGUAGAUUCAAUGAAAACAUCAAUCACUAGUAUAAUAGAAAAUAUACAGAGGAAUUCAUCUCGACUAGUGGUAGAUUCAAUGAAAACAUCAAUAUGCAUUGACUACACUUAAAAUUUCUGAACAAUGACAAGAAUAACAGAAAAGUACAGAGGAAGUCAUAUCUCAACUAGUGGCAGAGUCAAUGAAAAUAUCAAUAUGCAUCGACGACAAUAAUAAAAUUUCUGAAUAAUCACAAGAAUAAUAGAAAGCAGAGGAACAAAAUCAUAAAACACUCGAGGAAUAGAGGAGGAAUAAACCCAGUCAUCACACGUCAAUUUAACAGCAGCCGGAUAUCACAAACGACUCUCAUAUGCAGAAAAAUUAAACUUUCACGAAUCUCAAAAUGCAACAAUUAAAGUCACAAAUUUGUACCUGGUAAGUAGAUUUUUUCGUCGAUAAAGACAAGAAAUUGAACGACAAGAAUGAGUUAUGCAACAAUCUUGAAACCUGCACGAAAAGAAAAUUGGGAAAAAGAUGAAAGAAAGAAUCCUAACAACGACGAUAGAGCAUAAUGGAGAAGCACAAUCCAAACCCAACUAUUAACCGCAUCUUCUAGGUAAAAUGUAUCUGGGGAAAAGGCUGGCUGGAGACCUAUCUGUGUGAUUUUGUUAAUCGCUCAUCUCUUCUGUAUCCCAUUCGAUGAAGGGAAUAGGUUUCCUAUUAUUUUCUGAUCGGAGGAAAUCGUUCAUUCUUGCCAAAAAAAUUGGAGGGACAAAUUUUAUUUUGGGUAGG
RNAcentral lists this long non-coding RNA (6084 nucleotides) under Nicotiana benthamiana. RNAcentral describes it as "long non-coding RNA (NBEN_LNC026274)". Lineage: Eukaryota; Viridiplantae; Streptophyta; Magnoliopsida; Solanales; Solanaceae. The record is from RNAcentral.